RNAcentral lists this ribosomal RNA (492 nucleotides) under uncultured bacterium. RNAcentral's name for it is "partial 16S ribosomal RNA". It matches the Rfam family "Bacterial small subunit ribosomal RNA", at positions 29 to 507 of the family's 1533-position model. The record is from RNAcentral.
AGUGAACGCUGGCGGUAGGCCUAACACAUGCAAGUCGAACGGCAGCACAGUAAGAGCUUGCUCUUACGGGUGGCGAGUGGCGGACGGGUGAGGAAUACAUCGGAAUCUACUUUUUCGUGGGGGAUAACGUAGGGAAACUUACGCUAAUACCGCAUACGACCUACGGGUGAAAGCAGGGGAUCUUCGGACCUUUCGCGAUUGAAUGAGCCGAUGUCGGAUUAGCUAGUUGGCGGGGUAAAGGCCCACCAAGGCGACGAUCCGUAGCUGGUCUGAGUGGAUGAUCAGCCACACUGGAACUGAGACACGGUCCAGACUCCUACGGGAGGCAGCAGUGGGGAAUAUUGGACAAUGGGCGCAAGCCUGAUCCAGCCAUACCGAGUGGGUGAAGAAGGCCUUCGGGUUGUAAAGCCCUUUUGUUGGGAAAGAAAAGCAGCAGGUUAAUACCCCGCUGUUCUGACGGUACCCAAAGAAUAAGCACCGGCUAACUUCGUG